AGGACGAACGCUGGCGGCGUGCUUAACACAUGCAAGUCGAACGGAAAGGCCCGCUUGCGGGUACUCGAGUGGCGAACGGGUGAGUAACACGUGGGCAACCUGCCCUCAGCUCUGGGAUAACUCCGGGAAACCGGUGCUAAUACUGGAUAUCGACUUCUGCUCGCAUGGGUGGUUGUUGAAAGUUUUUCGGCUGGGGAUGGGCCCGCGGCCUAUCAGCUUGUUGGUGGGGUAAUGGCCUACCAAGGCGACGACGGGUAGCCGGCCUGAGAGGGCGACCGGCCACACUGGGACUGAGACACGGCCCAGACUCCUACGGGAGGCAGCAGUGGGGAAUAUUGCGCAAUGGGCGGAAGCCUGACGCAGCGACGCCGCGUGAGGGAUGACGGCCUUCGGGUUGUAAACCUCUUUCAGCUCUGACGAAGCGAGAGUGACGGUAGGAGCAGAAGAAGCACCGGCCAACGUACGUGCCAGCAGCCGCGGUAA
Molecule: ribosomal RNA, 483 nt
Filed under: uncultured bacterium
Lineage: Bacteria
Description: SSU rRNA
Rfam family: Bacterial small subunit ribosomal RNA
Source: RNAcentral